This 459-nucleotide ribosomal RNA is filed under the name uncultured bacterium. RNAcentral describes it as "partial 16S ribosomal RNA". It matches the Rfam family "Bacterial small subunit ribosomal RNA", at positions 338 to 795 of the family's 1533-position model. The record is from RNAcentral.
CCUACGGGUGGCAGCAGUGAGGAAUAUUGGUCAAUGGGCGCGAGCCUGAACCAGCCAAGUCGCGUGAGGGAAGACGGUCCUAUGGAUUGUAAACCUCUUUUGUCGGGGAGCAAAAGACACCACGCGUGGCGUUCCGAGAGUACCCUAAGAAAAAGCAUCGGCUAACUCCGUGCCAGCAGCCGCGGUAAUACGGAGGAUGCGAGCGUUAUCCGGAUUUAUUGGGUUUAAAGGGUGCGCAGGCGGAAGAUCAAGUCAGCGGUAAAAUUGAGAGGCUCAACCUCUUCGAGCCGUUGAAACUGGGGUUCUUGAGUGAGUGAGAAGUAGGCGGAAUGCGUGGUGUAGCGGUGAAAUGCAUAGAUAUCACGCAGAACUCCGAUUGCGAAGGCAGCAUACCGGAGCGCAACUGACGCUCAUGCACGAAAGUGUGGGUAUCGAACAGGAUUAGAUACCCUUGUAGUC